Long non-coding RNA from Heterocephalus glaber (naked mole-rat), 514 nucleotides. RefSeq lists it as uncharacterized. The record is from RefSeq and is a predicted model, not a curated record. NCBI's taxonomy places the organism in Eukaryota, Metazoa, Chordata, Mammalia, Rodentia, Bathyergidae.
CAGUUGGGCUUGAACUUACAUUCAUCCUGUCUCAGCCUUUGUAGCUUUGGGAUUAUAGGUCAUUGUUUCUCAGACUAGAUGCUGAGUCCAGUGAGACUCUGAAGAUAUCAUGAGUGUUCUUGGAGAUCAGAGCAGACGAGAUCCAACAGAGGUGGGCUCCAGAAGAUCAGCUCUGACACAAGAAAACUUCAGCCUUACCGGUGUGAAAGGGAGAUGCCAGAGUUAAGAGCCCCAGAGGUACCAGUAAGGUACAGGGGGACUUUGGAAGCAAGAAAUCCACCUUUACCUGACAGGGCCCCAUGCAGCUCGGAACCUGUAAGCUGAUGUACCAACCCUGAGCGCACCCCCUUGGACACUGUCUACAACAGUGCAACACCACUUGCAACACCACUACCAGCUCCGUCGCCAAAAAGUUCUCCACCACUAGCAGCAGAUUCACCUAUGACUGAAGAAGCUGGGAGAUGGGAAUUACUUCCUGAGUACACUGUGCUAUGUCAAGGGAAGGAAAUCUGGU